CGGUGGAGCACGUGGUUUAAUUCGAUGCAACCGAAGACUUACCUGGGUUUGACAUGUGCGUGUUACUGAGGUGAAAGCCGAGGGACCAUAUCUUCGGAUGUGGAGCGUACACAGGUGCUGCAUGGCUGUCGUCAGCUCGCGUCGUGAGAUGUUGGGUUAAGUCCCGCAACGAGCGCAACCCCUGCAUUCAGUUGCCAACGGUAAGGCCGGGCACUCUGGAUGGACUGCCGGCGACAAGCCGGAGGAAGGUGGGAUGACGUCAAGUCAUCAUGGCCCUUAUGUCCAGGGCGACACACGUGCUACAAUGGCCGGCACAGCGGGAAGCGAGGGGGCGACCUUGAGCGGAUCCCUCAAAGCCGGUCUCAGUUCGGAUUGCAGUCUGCAACUCGACUGCAUGAAGUUGGAAUCGCUAGUAAUCGUGGAUCAGCCAAGCCGCGGUGAAUACGUUCCCGGGCCUU
RNAcentral lists this ribosomal RNA (458 nucleotides) under uncultured Thermovirga sp. Its description in RNAcentral is "bacterial SSU rRNA". It matches the Rfam family "Bacterial small subunit ribosomal RNA", at positions 930 to 1382 of the family's 1533-position model. The record is from RNAcentral. Lineage: Bacteria; Thermotogati; Synergistota; Synergistia; Synergistales; Thermovirgaceae.